AAUGCCAAAUGUGGGUGAAGGGGAGAAGGAAAGCAAAGCACACUGCCAUGUGUGUACCUACGCAACUGUCUUGCAUGCUCUGCUCAUGUACCCCAAAACCUAAAAUCCAAUAAAAAAAAAAAAAGAUUCUAUUUGAUCCACUAAAGGGAAUAAUAUAACAGAUUUUAUGUUUAAAUGUUACUAUUUGCCAUAUUCCAAAAAUCUCUUUUGAAAAUUCAAAAGUGAUGAUGAAAAACUUAGAUACCAACCUAAGAAUGUGCAAGAUGGUACAUAAACUUUUUAAUAUUCCUCUAGGAUGUUAUAAGAGCAAAAAUGUUUGCGACCACUGCUCUGUGAGGCUGAAUGUUUGAUCUCCUGUUCUGUGAGCUACGCCCAGGCCUCCUGCCAAACAGAGAGGAAGUUCAACUAUGAACGAGAUUACAAAAUCGUCUGAAGCUGUAACAGUGAAAACUACUUCAGGGAAGAAAAAGAAUAACAAAGGAAUCAAGAAGAAAAUUGAAGGUCUGAUGGAAGCUGGUCCUUGGUUAGUGAAGUUGCAUUUGCAGAUAAUGGCAUAGAUGGAAGAGGAAACGAAGGAGAAAUGGUUUGUUGGAAUUCAUUCAAACUUUAACAUGCCUGAUCAAAUACUCUGCCCACUUGAGGGAAAGUGACCUUGGAAACAACGUCCUAGGAGAAAUGGCUGCUGCUGACAUACCUGAAGCACUGAGAUCCAGAAAGACAGCCCAACCUGCAGAGAGGUCUCCAGAUGUCAAUUGCAAAACUCAAGUCACAGCCCCCGUAAGAUUCUGAUGUGCCUUCUGGAUCAUCGAAGGAUGAUUAAUUGUGAUUGGCAUAGGGAGAGCAGUAAGUCUUUUAUGAUCCUGCAAUCUUUGAAAAGGAGAGCAUCACGUGUGGAAGGAGCUGGUUCCUGUGGCCACUCCUGCCCUCUCCGUCGCCAGCAUGCAUGACCAGAAUUAACGACGGCUGCUCAUCCUGCUGAUGCAGAGGAGGCAAAGAAAUGUCAUUUUAAAUGAAGCUCCAUGGAAGAUUUUAUAAACAGAUUUGAAAAUGCAAAUUCAACCUUAAGAAAAGUAGAAAGAACUCAGGCUGGGCAUAGUAGCUCACGCCUGUAAUCCCAGCACUUUGGGAGGCCGAGGCAGGCGGAUCACAAGUUUAGGAGUUUGAGACCAGCCUGGCCAAUAUGGUGAAACCCCAUCUCUACUUAAAAAAUACAAAAAAACUUAGUCAGGCGUGGUGGUGCAUGCCUGUAAUCCCAGCUAUUCAAGAGGCUGAGGCAGGAAAAUUGCUUGAACCUGGGAGGCGGACAUUGCAGUGAGCUGAGGUCCCACUACUACACUCCAGCCUGGGCAACAGAGCAAGACUCAGUCUCAAAAAAAAAUAAGAAAGAAAAGGAAAAAGAACUCUUGGUGUGUUACUGGGCAGGUCAAGUGGAAAGAAUUAAGUAGUUCAAGCCUCGGUCUUUACCAUUUCCUCAGAAUGGUCUUAGAGACAUGGCAAAAUCAUAGAUUGCAUUUUUCUUUUAAUGCUCUAGAGUAUUAGAGAGAAUAAUUAUAAUGGCAUUACUGUCCAUUGUAUUGACAUGUUUAAAACUAAAACGGCUACAUUUUUAAACAGCCAAUCAAGUGGUUCCAUGAUGUUUAAAUUAUCCCUUCAUUUUAGAGAAACAGAACAUGGAACACUUUGUAUUCCAUUAAAGUUGAAUUCAAAUUCAGCAGAGUUACUCUGUUAAAUUUAGUUCAAAAAUAGCUUUAAGCUUGAUAAACCAAAGGCAGGUUAAUGCUUUCAUUUUGUCUUUCCUGGCACCACAGUAACUUUUUCGUUAUACACUGAGGGAGAAGAUGUUACAAGACAGCAGGCAGUCUUGUGACCAUGACUGUACUGAGUGCUAAUGACAAUCAGUCUCAGAUGACUGGGAGGAGGAUUAUUAUCUCUCAGUAUGUACUGGAGCUGGAGAACAUCAUGCUUUGCUUAGUAAAUGUUUUAAUUUGCACAAAUGAGAAGAUAAUUAUGAAAUACCCACCUGAAAGUACAAAUACUCAUUUAGAAGGCAUUAAAAAGUAAUUUUCAAGUAUAGUAAUAUAUAUUAUGAGUAGCCUUAAUGCAGCCUCUCUUGAGCUGAAAUAAUUAUGGGUGUUUCUGAUGGAACACUUCAAUUAGAUUGUUAGUUUGAACACCGAGAAGGUUCCUCAAAACAGGGUUAACUGGUUGGGUUCUAUAGGGAAAAUGUCUUCCCAUUUAGCCCUAAUGGCAUCAUUUUAAACAUUAAAAGCAAUUAGUGAUAUUAGUGAUUAUAGAACUAAUGUUCUUCAAUUUAUUGUUUCUUAACAUUUGCAAGUUAACAAGCUAAUUUCUAAAUCUAAUUCUAAUUCGUUCAUGAAAUCCAAAUUAACAGUCUGAGGUCACUUAUUUGCCUAGCAAGGAGAUCUUAACAACCUGCCUUUAAUGAUGGAAUAGGCCCAAUGAAAUCUUCCUCAGACACAUUAGCAA
Molecule: long non-coding RNA, 2487 nt
Organism: Callithrix jacchus (white-tufted-ear marmoset)
Lineage: Eukaryota; Metazoa; Chordata; Mammalia; Primates; Cebidae
Source: RefSeq, a predicted model, not a curated record